UGCAGUGGGCCCAGAGCACUGGCACAACGUUUUCAUGUUGUAGCCAAGUGCCUUUUUGUUGCAGGAUGAGCAAGUCAGACUUUAAUCUGGAUUAUGCAAGUGAGACUUUGCAGAGAAUACUCCAAUGCUAACACCCUGAAGAACUCACCAGUGACAGCAGAGUCCUGGCUGGAGCAGUCACAGCUGCCAGCAGAGGAGAAGCUACAUGAGUAUGAAGCAUUGGAUUCCUUCUGAGGGAGCAAAUGGCUGCCUGGGACACAGUGGCUGGCUACGUCCAACAACAGCUCUUGCUGCACAAGGUGGG
Manacus vitellinus (golden-collared manakin) is the source of this 304-nucleotide long non-coding RNA. RefSeq lists it as uncharacterized. The transcript is spliced from 3 exons. NCBI's taxonomy places the organism in Eukaryota, Metazoa, Chordata, Aves, Passeriformes, Pipridae. The record is from RefSeq and is a predicted model, not a curated record.